Molecule: long non-coding RNA, 516 nt
Organism: Gopherus agassizii (Agassiz's desert tortoise)
Lineage: Eukaryota; Metazoa; Chordata; Testudines; Testudinidae
Source: Ensembl
GUGAUGAGGUACAUUUAAGUACCAGUAGACAUGUAUUUGUUGAUGUGAUUGAUUACUCAAAUACCAUCAUAACUGUGCUUUUCUUCCAUCAUGUGUUGUAGGUUAUUGAUGCAUUUUUGAGCUGUAUAGUUGAGAAAGCAGAUGGAAAGGUACAAGCCAUCUCAUCAGUAGUUUCCACUGCCAUUCUCUCAGGCAGAGCUACACAAAUGAAAGUGAAGAGUGAAUUACUUCAAAAUGAUAUAUUACUGCUUCCUUACCACACACCAGGUCAUUGGGUUCUUGCGAUAGCCUUGAUGAAAAAAAAGGAAUUGUUAAUAAUUGACCCCUUGUGUGAUGAGAUCAGAUAUGAAAGAACAUGCCUGAGGAAUUGGAGGUGAUUUAUUAGAUACUUACUUUCACAGUGGACACUAACUGUUCCAUUGAAAUUGUUUUUAAAGGGAAUGUUACAAUAAUGAGAAUAAUGUCUUCCUAUUAGCUACAAAUAAACAUUGAAACAGCAUAUACUUGUACUGAAUG